RNAcentral lists this ribosomal RNA (443 nucleotides) under uncultured bacterium. RNAcentral describes it as "partial 16S ribosomal RNA". It matches the Rfam family "Bacterial small subunit ribosomal RNA", at positions 338 to 795 of the family's 1533-position model. The record is from RNAcentral.
CCUACGGGUGGCUGCAGUGGGGAAUAUUGGACAAUGGGGGGAACCCUGAUCCAGCGACGCCGCGUGAGUGAAGAAGUAUUUCGGUAUGUAAAGCUCUAUCAGCAGGGAAGAAAGAAAUGACGGUACCUGACUAAGAAGCCCCGGCUAACUACGUGCCAGCAGCCGCGGUAAUACGUAGGGGGCAAGCGUUAUCCGGAUUUACUGGGUGUAAAGGGAGCGUAGACGGCGAUGCAAGUCUGAAGUGAAAGGCGGGGGCCCAACCCCCGGACUGCUUUGGAAACUGUAUGGCUGGAGUGAAGGAGAGGUAAGUGGAAUUCCUAGUGUAGCGGUGAAAUGCGUAGAUAUUAGGAGGAACACCAGUGGCGAAGGCGGCUUACUGGGCUGUAACUGACGUUGAGGCUCGAAAGCGUGGGGAGCAAACAGGAUUAGAUACCCUAGUAGUC